GAUGAACGCUGGCGGCGUGCCUAAUACAUGCAAGUCGAGCGAACAGACGAGGAGCUUGCUCCUCUGACGUUAGCGGCGGACGGGUGAGUAACACGUGGAUAACCUACCUAUAAGACUGGGAUAACUUCGGGAAACCGGAGCUAAUACCGGAUAAUAUAUUGAACCGCAUGGUUCAAUAGUGAAAGACGGUUUUGCUGUCACUUAUAGAUGGAUCCGCGCCGCAUUAGCUAGUUGGUAAGGUAACGGCUUACCAAGGCAACGAUGCGUAGCCGACCUGAGAGGGUGAACGGCCACACUGGAACUGAGACACGGUCCAGACUCCUACGGGAGGCAGCAGUAGGGAAUCUUCCGCAAUGGUCGAAAGCCUGACGGAGCAACGCCGCGUGAGUGAUGAAGGUCUUCGGAUCGUAAAACUCUGUUAUUAGGGAAGAACAAAUGUGUAAGUAACUAUGCACGUCUUGACGGUACCUAAUCAGAAAGCCACGGCUAACUACGUG
Molecule: ribosomal RNA, 497 nt
Filed under: uncultured bacterium
Lineage: Bacteria
Description: partial 16S ribosomal RNA
Rfam family: Bacterial small subunit ribosomal RNA
Source: RNAcentral